This 211-nucleotide long non-coding RNA is filed under the name Gossypium raimondii (Peruvian cotton). Its description in RNAcentral is "long non-coding RNA (GRAI_LNC008475)". Lineage: Eukaryota; Viridiplantae; Streptophyta; Magnoliopsida; Malvales; Malvaceae. The record is from RNAcentral.
UUUAGAGAGCUCUAUAGGCAACAAACAAAGUUUGAACUGAACCACAUGCUGCUUUCAUCAUAAAUUUAAGGGUCACCAAUUAAACUUGAUUCGGAGGUCGUUGGUAUUCAAGGUGUUCUGAUGUUGAUAUAAAAAAACUAGCCAGCUGCUCUGCAAGUGAACUACAAUAAUGAAUUGUUUUUAGUUUUAGACCCAACUUUGCAGCAAAAAU